UACGUAGGGUGCGAGCGUUUGUCCGGAAUUAUUGGGCGUAAAGAGCUCGUAGGCGGUUUGUCGCGUCUGCCGUGAAAGUCCGGGGCUCAACCCCGGAUCUGCGGUGGGUACGGGCAGACUAGAGUGAUGUAGGGGGAGACUGGAAUUCCUGGUGUAGCGGUGAAAUGCGCAGAUAUCAGGAGGAACACCGAUGGCGAAGGCAGGUCUCUGGGCAUUAACUGACGCUGAGGAGCGAAAGCAUGGGGAGCGAACAGG
Molecule: ribosomal RNA, 255 nt
Filed under: uncultured bacterium
Lineage: Bacteria
Description: partial 16S ribosomal RNA
Rfam family: Bacterial small subunit ribosomal RNA
Source: RNAcentral